This is a non-coding RNA of Podarcis lilfordi (Lilford's wall lizard), 1565 nucleotides long. Lineage: Eukaryota; Metazoa; Chordata; Lepidosauria; Squamata; Lacertidae. The record is from the annotation of a GenBank genome assembly.
GAAAUGGAAAUUGUGCAUCUUCUCUACAGUAUGCUAGUUGCAGGUACACGUCAGCUUUUGGCCUUGAGAUUGAGCUUGUGAAGCUAUCCAGAUAGCAGGUGCAAAGGAUUACGUAUUGAAUAAGCCACAAGGAAGAAGUAUGGAGAAAUCAAAAUUAUGAGAUAUAAGCUUGUAUUAAAGUGGUCAUCAAGAAUGUUUCAUAGUAACAACAAGGAAGACAGAUAUCCCAUGGGAAGAAGUCAAGAUUUAGAAAGUAAAUUGGUUUUAGAUGUUAAGAACAUGUAAGCUUUUUAUGGAUUUCCCUCUUCCCAAAGAAUGAGAUAAUAGGUACCAAAGAGAUUCUACAUUUGUUUGAUGUAUGGUUUCUGGGAUGUCACAAAGCAAUAUAAUGUUAAUGUUAAAGGUGGUUUUUGUGUGCGCACACACUUCAGAAAAGAUAAAUCAUAGGCACUUGACAUUUAAAUGGAGAUAAAAUAAAGAUAAUUAGAAGUGAGGAGACCUACAAAUAUUUGUGAACUGUGGAUUAAUUUGACACAUUUCAAAAACAGAUAAGGGAAAUUAUUAUUAUUAUUAAUUUGAUUUAUUGCAUUUUAUUACUAAUAUGAAAUUAUCUAAACACAUUCUCCCUGCAGUGAAGAUUCAACACAUAUGAAAUCUGUCAAAUAAGUCGUCUGCAAGUCCCAGCUAACUGCAUGCAAAAUAUAUAAUAGUUAUAUUUUGCCUAUUUUAAACCCGAUACAAAAAUCCUAGCAUAUGUUGAAUGGAUUAUCAUCAGUGAAAGACACAUAAAUGGUUGCCGGUUUAUCUUACCACCUUUUAUAAUGAGUUACUGGGCUAUUUUUGAACCACAUUAAGAUAACUUUAUUCCAAUGUCUAUCAAGACAAUUAUAGCAAUGCACAAAGUCAUUCUACUGAGGCACCAUAUUGCAAUUGUAUGAUCAUUCAUUUGGAUGGAAUGUGUGAAUCUAUGGAGGAUAGUAACAAAGAUUAUUGAGGUCAGAUAUCCCAUCAUCUCUAACUAUUGGCCAUGCUGGCUGAAGCUGAGGGGAGUUGGAGUCAAACACUAUAGAGAAGGACAAAGGUUCCCCAUACCUGUUUUAGAUUCUGGAUACAAUCCCCCAAAAUAUAUUUAUUUAUUUAUUUAGGGGAAAACAAAUCCACACUGAAAUAAAUCGGGCUUGCUGCUUUUUGUUUUAUUGUCGAGUAUUAGCAUUACUUCUUCUUCUUCUUCUUCUUCUUCUUCUUCUUCUUCUUCUUCUUCUUCUCUUCUUCCUCCUCCUUCUUCUAAUAUUACUUAGGAGCUUGCUACUGAUUUAAGUUUUUCUAUAUACUCCAGUUAAAGAGAAGCAAUCAGCUGAAUCAAAACAUCAACCACUCUCUUGACAAUGUAUCAUAUUAUUUUGACAACUAAUUAUCAUUAUUGUACAACAUAAAGUGUGAUAGAUGUUUACAAGUAAACCAGAGGUUGAAUCUCUCUAAAGAUAUGAUCAAAGCAAUAAAGCUGAUACAUUUAUGGUGUGACAACAAAGGAUAGGCAAGAGCAAAAUGAGAAAGAUUAAAACAGU